GAUGAACGCUGGCGGCGUGCCUAAUACAUGCAAGUCGAGCGAACAGACGAUAAGCUUUCUCCUCUGACGUUAGCGGCUGACGGGUGAGUAACACGUGGAUAACCUACCUCUAAUUCUGGGAUAACUUCGGGAAACCGGAGCUGAUACCGGAUAAUAUAUUCAACCGCAUAGUUCAGUAGUGAAAGGCGGUUUUGCUGUCACUUAUAGAUGGAUGCGCGCCGGAUUGGCUGGUUGGUAAGGUAACGGCUUACCAAGGCAACGAUGCUGAUCGGACCUGAUAGGGUGAUCGGCCAAACGGGAACUGAGAAACGGUCCAGAUUCCUACGGGAGGAAGAAGUAGGGAAUCUUCCGAAAUGGGCGAAAGCUUGACCGAGCAACGCGGGGUGAGUGAUGAGGGUCUUCGGUUCGUAAAACUCUGUUAUUAGGAAAGAAAAAAUGUGUAAGUAACUAUGCAGGUCUGGACGGAACCAAAGAAGAAAGCCACGGCUAACUACGG
RNAcentral lists this ribosomal RNA (496 nucleotides) under uncultured bacterium. Its description in RNAcentral is "partial 16S ribosomal RNA". It matches the Rfam family "Bacterial small subunit ribosomal RNA", at positions 28 to 506 of the family's 1533-position model. The record is from RNAcentral.